RNAcentral lists this ribosomal RNA (1548 nucleotides) under Santamartamys rufodorsalis (red crested soft-furred spiny-rat). Its description in RNAcentral is "16S ribosomal RNA". It matches the Rfam family "Bacterial large subunit ribosomal RNA", at positions 379 to 2835 of the family's 2925-position model. The record is from RNAcentral. Lineage: Eukaryota; Metazoa; Chordata; Mammalia; Rodentia; Echimyidae.
ACUAACAUUAGCCUGCCUACAUCAACAUCUAAACUAUCAUAAAUAAUAAAAUAAAACAUUUACAUAUAGGAGUAUAGGAGAUAGAAAUUUACUUAAGCGCUAUAGAGAUAGUACCGUAAGGGAAAAAUGAAAGAAAAAUAAAAGUAUAAAACAGCAUAGAUUAUACCUAGUACCUUUUGCAUAAUGAAUUAGCUAGAAAAAUUUGACAAAAAGAAUUUUAGUCAAACCCCCCGAAACCAAACGAGCUACUUCUGAACAGCUAACAAUGAGCAAACUCAUCUAUGUGGCAAAAUAGUGAGAAGAUUCAAAAGUAGAGGUGAAAAGCCUAUCGAGCUUGGAGAUAGCUGGUUGUCCAAAUAAGAAUUUAAGUUCAACUUUAAGUUUUCCUAAAAAACUAAAAAUUCUAAUGAAAACUUAUAUGUUAAACUAAGGAGGGACAGCUCCUUAAACAAGGAUACAUCCUUAAACAGAGGGUAAAAAAUUUAAUCACCAUAGUAGGCUUAAAAGCAGCCAUCAAUUAAAAAAGCGUUCAAGCUUGACAAAUCUCUAUAAUUUUAUACCUAAAAACUUUAAUUAUCCCCUGAUAAAUAAUCGGACUAAUCUAUAACAAUAUAGAAGAAAUAAUGCUAAUAUCAGUAACAAGAAAUACUUCUCCUUGCACAAGUUUACAAUAACCUCAACCAAUUAACAAUCUUAUAAUAUAUACAUCUACCAGCCCAUUAUUAUAAAUAUUGUUAUCCCAACUCAGGAGUGCAAUAAGGAAAGACUAAAAUAAGUAAAAGGAACUCGGCAAACAAAAAUCCCGCCUGUUUACCAAAAACAUCACCUCUAGCAUGACAAGUAUUAGAGGCACCGCCUGCCCAGUGACAAAUAAAGUUUAACGGCCGCGGUAUCCUGACCGUGCAAAGGUAGCAUAAUCACUUGUUCUUUAAAUAAGGACUAGUAUGAAAGGCUAAACGAGGGUUUAACUGUCUCUUGCUUAUAGUCAGUGAAAUUGACAUUCCCGUGAAGAGGCGGGAAUAAAACAAUAAGACGAGAAGACCCUAUGGAGCUUCAAUUAAUUAAUUCAUUUUUACAUAACUAUUCCGACAGGAAGUAAAAACAAAACAUGAGUUAACAAUUUUGGUUGGGGUGACCUCGGAGCAAAAUAAAACCUCCGAAUGAUAUUAACUUAGACCUACAGGUCAAAGUUUCUAUCAUAAAUUGACCCAGAGAUAAUCUGAUCAACGGACCAAGUUACCCUAGGGAUAACAGCGCAAUCCUAUUAUAGAGUUCAUAUCGACAAUAGGGUUUACGACCUCGAUGUUGGAUCAGGACCUCCCAAUGGUGCAGCCGCUAUUAAGGGUUCGUUUGUUCAACGAUUAAAGUCCUACGUGAUCUGAGUUCAGACCGGAGCAAUCCAGGUCGGUUUCUAUCUAUUAAAUAUUUCUCCCAGUACGAAAGGACAAGAGAAAUUGGGCCUAUAGACCAACUAUGCCCUAAUAGUAAAAAAAUGAUAUAAUAUUAAUCAUUUAACUAUUACCACCCUCUCCCACCCGAGAUAAGGGU